Capra hircus (goat) is the source of this 803-nucleotide long non-coding RNA. RefSeq lists it as uncharacterized. NCBI's taxonomy places the organism in Eukaryota, Metazoa, Chordata, Mammalia, Artiodactyla, Bovidae. The record is from RefSeq and is a predicted model, not a curated record. The transcript has 4 exons.
UACAAGCACUAGUCUACGGCUUUGCCUGCAACUGUUUGCCCAAGAGCCAUCUGAAAAUGAGCAUCGUUCUACGAAUGGAAUCCCAUUAUCACCUGUAACACAGAGAAGGUGUUCACAUAGAAAAAGCUAUUUCAGCAGACUGAAUUCAAAGUUGUUUUCAAUGACAGGCCGACCUGUGACCACCUCACAAAAUUUUGGAGUGGAAGCCAAGUCUUCAGUAUCAGUGAACGCAACUUCCAGACAAUAUCCCUGGCAAGUGGCCUCCUCACACUUGAGUGUGAGGAGGUGGCAGCAGGCUUCCAGAGGCAAAGUCUUUGGCAACAGUACUUCCCUGGGGCCCGAGAUUCCGAAGCUCCUCUCCUCUGUGCCCACUCACCUCUCCAGCCUGGCCACGUGCGAAAAGCCUCGCCAACGGAGCAGCUCCUUCAGUGUCUGAGUAGCUCCCAGAGGCUUCUCUCUUUCAGGUUUACAGUGCGUGCGCAGCCGCUCAGGUUCCCAUUAAAGCCUUGCUUUCUUCAUUGUGUGUGUGCCUAGGCGCUCAGUCGUGUCCAACCCUUUUCAACCACAUGGACUGUAGCUCUCCAGGCUCCUCUGUCCAUGGGAUUUUUUUCAGCCAGGAAUACUGAGAUUGCUCACUGAGGUUUAUCAGGAGAGAGAGAUGGAAUUGGGAACCAGACAAGUCCCUAGCCUUCCUGGGACUUGUCUUCUACUGAGGAAGACAAGACACACGGUGAAACAAGUGAAUGCAUAAUACUGUGGCAGGAUGGACUGGUUGGAUCUCCUUGCAGUCCAAGUGACCCGCA